Dipodomys spectabilis (banner-tailed kangaroo rat) is the source of this 470-nucleotide non-coding RNA. The record is from the annotation of a RefSeq genome assembly. NCBI's taxonomy places the organism in Eukaryota, Metazoa, Chordata, Mammalia, Rodentia, Heteromyidae.
CCUCAUUUCAGUCUCUCAAGAUGAGAUGCCCUGCUCAGUUCCUGGGACUGCUGCUGCUCUGGAUCCCUGGAUCUAGUGGAGCUGUUGGGAUGACGCAGACUCCACUCUCCCUGUCCAUCAACCCUGAAGAGCCAGCCUCCAUCUCCUGCACUCCAGUAGGAGUCUCAUGCAUAGUGAUGGAAACAUACUUGCAAUGGUACCUGCAGAAGCCAGGCCAGUCUCCACAAUCCAUGAUCUGUAAGGUUUCCAACCAAUUUACUGGGGUCCCAGACAGGAUCAGUGGCAGUAGGUCAGGCAUAGAUUUCACACUGACAAUCAGCAGCGUGAAGCCUGAGGAUGAAGGGGUUUAUUACUGCCAACAGGGAUCCAGUGGGGAUAAUGUGACAUUACAGACUCUGCUCUUCCUAUCCAUCACCCCUGGAGGGCUGGCCUGCAUCGCUAGAAAACUCACACAGGGCCUCUCAGAGUAG